Canis lupus familiaris (dog) is the source of this 253-nucleotide long non-coding RNA. RefSeq lists it as uncharacterized. The transcript has 2 exons. The record is from RefSeq and is a predicted model, not a curated record. NCBI's taxonomy places the organism in Eukaryota, Metazoa, Chordata, Mammalia, Carnivora, Canidae.
CAUCACUCUUUUAAAACUAACUGGGACUUAUCUGAUGGCUCCACACGCAGCUGGUGUUGGGUGGAAGCAGUGGUCUCCUGCAGCCUCCUACAUCCCAACUGAUGAUGUUUGGCUCAGUGUCUCGGACAUGGAUGUGAAUAAAUCAUCCCUGUGGUGACAAAGGACUAGAUGCAGAUUUAAAUUGUCACCAGGGUAAAUCUGAAUUUCAAUCAGUUUUACGCACCACCAUAAAUAAAAUUCUUUGCUACCUAAA